RNAcentral lists this long non-coding RNA (10220 nucleotides) under Homo sapiens (human). RNAcentral's name for it is "HSALNT0221390". The record is from RNAcentral. Lineage: Eukaryota; Metazoa; Chordata; Mammalia; Primates; Hominidae.
UUUUUUUAGUAGAGAAGGGGUUUUGCAUAUUGGCCAGCUGGUCUUCAAUUCCUGGCCUCAGGUGGUCCGCCCGCCUCGGCCUCCAAAAGUGCUGGGAUUACAGGCGUGAGCCACUGUGCCUGGCCAAGAUAAUUUUUUAAUAUUGAAGGUUAUGACUUUCCCCACAUCAGUUCAUAUCAUUUUGAAAUGUGAGAACACAAAGGACAAGAAGAACUUGCUAUAUAGCAUCUAGAGAGAAAAACAGAUUUCCAUACAAAGGAUCAAAAAUUUGAAGCACACUGAUUUUCUAAGUAACACCGCUGAAAACUAGAAGACAAUGAAGCAAUGACUUCACAAGUCUUACUGAAAAAUGAUUUCCAAUUUAGAAUUUUAUGCCUAAACCAUUCAUGAAGAUAUUCAAUUUUCAAACUGUUUAAGUGUGAGCAUAUUUUCAUUUAAUGUAUUUUCUAUCAGUCCUCUCUCAGAAGCUACUGAUGGAUGAAGAAACCCAGCAGAAACCACCUUAACCAUGUGAUUGAGGCCAACAUUGUCAGUAAUAAGAUAUAUGGACAUCAUUAACCUCAUGUAAUAACAUACCAAGGACACAUUAUUUCUGUGGUAUUCUUGCCCAAAAUACAUAACUCAAUCCCAUCCUGAAAAAAAUGACAGAGAUAUUCAAUAAAAUAAUUAAAUAAUACUCAUGAAAUGUCAAGCUCGUGAAAGACAAAGAAAGACUAAGGAAUUGUUGCAGGACACUAAAUUGUUACAGAAGAGAAAUAACAAUUAAAAGCAAUAUGGGAUCCCAAAUAGGAUCCUGCAACAAAACAAGGACAUCAGUAGAAAACUGACAAAAUUUCUAAUAAGAUGUUUACUUAAUAGUAUUAAACCAAUACUAAUUUAUUUGUUUUGAUAAUUAUAUAAUGGUUAUGUAAGACAUUAACAUAAUAGGAAGGUGGGUGAGAGACAUAUGAAAACUAUUAUUUAUGCAAUAUUUCCUUAAGUCUACAGGUAGUUCAAAUAAAAAAAUUUUUUAAAGAAGAAAAUUCAGAGAGGGUCAAAGGAAAAUGGUGGGAAAGCAUACAAGAAACAGCAGCAAUGUGGUUACUGCAAAUAGAUAAAUUACUAUAAGUUUCAGAAAUAAGAAAAGAGGAACACAAAUAGCUGUAAACAGAAACAGCCUGUGUGUAACAUCCUGGAACAAUCUAUCUCCAAGUAUUCUUCUAAGAUGCAAUGGCUGUCAAAGAGACCCAAAGAAUAAAAAGAUAACCCAAAAUAUAAUUUUUUAAGUUUACUUUUCCUUAUUUUAUUCUAGUACUUUUACCCUUUUCAAAAUCUUACACUACCCCGUUUCUGAUAAAUAUUAAAUCAUCACAGUUCCUACUCACCACCAGGAUAUUCCUCCAACCCCAUUUGAGGGGAUAUGUCCCUCUACUUGAAAAGUCAGUUUAUUUUUUUUUUUUCAAAUUGACAUAUAAUCCACAUGCCACAGAAUUCACCUCUUGAAAGUAUAAAAUUCAAUGGUUUUUAGUCUAUUCAGAGUUGUGCAACCAUCACCACUAUCCAAUUUAGAAUAUCUUCAUUACUACCAAAAGAAAAAAAGCCGUGUGCCCAUUACCAGUCAUUCCUUAUCCUGCUCAAGACCUCCAACAACCACUAAUAUACUUUUUUUUUUUUUUUUUUUUUAGAUGGAGACUCGUUCUGUUGCCCAGGCUGGAGUGCAGUGGCGUGAUCUCAGCUCACUGCAACCUCCAUCUCAAAGGUUCAGGCGAUUCUCCUGCCUCAGCCUCCCAAGCGGCUAGGACUACAAGCACACGCCACAACGCCAGGCUAAUUUUUGUAUUUUUAGUAAAAAAGGGUUUUACCAUGUUGGCCAGGCUGGUCUCGAACUAUUUAUCUCAAGUGAUCUACCCUCCUCGGCAUCCCAAAGUGCUGGGAUUAUAGGCGUGAGCCACUGCACCCAGCCCACUAAGGUAUUGCUAUGGACUUGCUUACUCUGCACAUUACAUACAAAUGGAGUUAUACAGGCCGAGCGCGGUGGCUCAUGCCUCUAAUCCCAGCACUUUGGGAGGUCGAGGCAGGCAGAUCACCUGAGGUAAGGAGUUCAAGACCAGCCUGGCCAACAUGGUGAAACCCUGUCUCUACUAAAAAUACAAACACUAGCUGGGCAUGGUGGUGUGCGCCUGCAGUCCCGGCUACUCGGGAGGCGAGGCAGGAUAAUCGCUUGAACCCAGGACGUGGAGGUUACAGUGAGCCGAGAUCGAGCCACUGCACUCCAGCUUGGGCGACAGAGCAAGACUCUGUCAAACAAACAAAUAGAUAAAUAAAUAAAUGGACUUACACAAUAAGCCCUUUGUGUCUGGCUUCUUCACUUAGCAUAUUUUAUUUUUUUUUUUUUCAGACAGAGUCUCACUCUGUUGCCCAGGCUAGCAUGCAGUGGUAUGAUGUCAGCUCACCGCAACCUCUGCCUCCCGGUUUCAAGCAAUUCUUGUGCCUCAGCCUCCCAAGUAUCUGGGACUACAGGCAUGCGCCACCAGACUCAACUAAUUUUUGUAUUUUUAGUAGAGACAGGGUUUCACCAUUUGGCCAGGCUGGUCUCAAACUCCUGGACUCAAGUGAUGUGCCCACCUUAGCCUCCCAAAGUGUGCAGAUUACAGGUGUGGGCCACUGCAUCCAGCCACUUAGGAUAAUAUUUAGAAGGUUCGGUUAGGUUGUAGUAUGUAUCACUACUUCACUCCUUUUUAUGGCUAAAUAAUAUUACAUUGUAUGAAUAUACGAAAUUUUGUUCAUUUGUUUAUCAGUUGACAGACACAUGUUGUUUUCACCUUUUGACUAUUAUAAAUAAUGCUGUUAUUAACAUUCAUGUACAAGUUUUUGUGUGGACAUAUGUUUUCAAUGCUCUUGGGUACAGACCUAGUAGUGGAACUGCUGGAUCAUACAGUAACUCUAUGUUUAACUAUUUAAGGAACUGCCUGUUUUCCAAAGCACCUGCACCAUUUUACAUUCUCAUGCAAUGCAUGAAGGUUCUAAUUUCUCCACCUCCUCCAAUGUUUGCUAUUAGCCAGCCUUUUUGAUUACUGUCACUUAGUGGGUGUGAAGUGGUAUCUCAGUGUGGUUUUGAUUUGUAUUUCCCUAAUAAUUAAUGAUGUUGAACAUUUUUUCAUGUGUUUACUGGCUAUUUUUUCUCUUCUCUAGAGAUAUGUCUACUCAGAUUCUUUGUUCAUUUUUAAAACUGGGGUAUCUGUCUUUUUUAUUGUUGAGCUGUAAGAAUUCUUUAUAUAUUCUAGAAACUAGAACCUCAUCAGAUCUAUGACUUACAAGUAUCUCUCCCAUUCUGUGUGCUGUCUUCAUUUUCUUGAAAGUAUCCUUUGAAGCACAAAUGUUUUUAAUUUUGAUGAUGUCCAAUUUAUUUUUCCUUUGGUUGUUUGUGCUUUUGAUGUCAUAGCUAAGAAACCAUUGCCUAAUCCAAGGUGAUAAAGAUUUACAUCUAUGUUGUUUUUUUUUUUAUUUUUUUGUGAGACGGACUCUUGCCCUGUCGCCCAGGCUGGAGUGCAAUGGUGCGGUCUCCACUCACUGCAACCUCUGCCUCCCAGGUUCAAGCAAUUCUUCUGCCCCAGCCUCCCAAGUAGCUGGGAUUACAGGCGUGCACCUCCACACCUGGCUAAUUUUUGUAUUUUUAGUAGAGACGGGGUUUCACCAUGUUGGUCAGGCUGGUCUCGAACUCCUGACCUCGUGAUCCACCCGCCUCAGCCUCUCAAAGUGCUGGGAUUACAGGCGUGAGCCACCGCGCCGGGCCCAUCUUUUUUUUUUUGAGACAGAGUUUCAUUCUUGUCUCCCAGGCUGGAGUGCAAUGGUGUGAUCUCAGCUCACUGCAACCUCCGCUUCCUGGGUUCAAGCAAUUCUCCUGCCUCAGCUGGGAUUACAGGCACACGCCACUACACCCGGCUAAUUUUUUGUUAUUUAGUAGAUACGGGGUUUCACCAUGUUAGGCUGGUCUUGAACUCGACUUCAGGUGAUCCACCUGCCUCGGCAUUCCAAAGUGCUGGGAUUACAGGCGUGCGCCUGGCCCUAUGUUUUCUUUUAUGAGUUUUACAGUUAUAGCUCUUAUAUUUAGGUCUUUAAUCCACUUUAAUUUUUUUGUAUAUGAUGUAAGGGGCCAACUUCAUUCUUUUGCAUGUGGGUAUACAGUUGUCCAAGUACCAUGAGACACUAUUCUCUCAUGAAAUAGUUUUGGCACUCUUGUAGAAAAUCAGUAAGCCACAGAUGUAUGAGUUUAUUUCUAGACUCUUAAUUCUAUUCCAUUGAUCUAUAUAUUUAUCCUUCUGACACAGCCACUCUAUUUUUAUUACUGUAACUCUAAAGUAGUAUGUUUUGAAGUUGGAAAGUGUGAGCCUUCUAACUUUCCUCUUCUUUUUCAAGACUGUUUUGGCUACUCUGGAUCCUUGAAUUUCCAUAUGAUUUUAGGAUCAGCUUAUCAAUUUCUGCCAAACAAAGCCAGCAAGAAUUUUGAUAGUGAUUGCACUCAAUCUGUGAACCAAUUUGCAAAGUAUUGACAUCUUCACAAUAUUAAGUCUUGCAAUCCAUAAACAUGAGGUGUGUUUCCAUUUAUUUCGGUCUUCUUUAAUUUCUUUCAAUAAUGUUUUGUUCCUUCAGUGUACAAGUCUUACACUUCUUUUGUUAAAUGUAUUCCUAAGUAUCCUAUUCUUUUUGAUGCUUUUGUACAUAAACUUGUUUCCUUAAUUUCAUUCUUUGAUUGUACAUUGUUGGUGUAUAGAAACAAUUUUUGUACAUUUAUCUUUUACCCUGAAGCUCUGCUGAACUCGUUUAUUAGCCCUAAUAGUUGUGUAUGAGUGUGUGUGUGUUCCUUAGAAUUUUCUACACACAAAAUCAUGUCAUCCGCAAACAGAAAUAGUUUUACAACUUCCUUUUCAAUCUACAUGAGUUUUAUUUCAUUAUCUUAUAUAAUUGCCCCAGCUAGAAUAGAAAUGGCAGGAGUGGAAGUCUUUAUUUUAUUCCUGAUCUUAGGGGGAAGGUUUUCAGUCUUUCUCCAUUGAAUAUGAUAUUAACUAUAACUUUUUCAUAGAUGCCCUUUUCAGGUUAAGAAAGUUCCCUUCUAUUCCUAGUUUGUUGAAUAUUUUUAUCAUGAAAGAAUGUUGAAUUUUGUCAGAUGCUUUUUCAGCAUCCAGAUAAUCACAUUGUUUUUGUUCAUUUUUUCUAUUAAUAUGGUGUAUUAUAUUGAUUGAUUUUCAUACUUUGAAAAUGGGAUACAUCCCAUUUGGUCAUGGGGUACAAUCUUUUAGGUAAGUUGCUGGAUUUGGUUUGUUAGUAGUUUGUUGAGAAUUUUUACAUCUAUCUUCAUAAUGGAUACUGAAGAAUGCAUCAGAGUACUUUAAUAGCUGGUCUAUAGUUUUUCUUUUCUUGCAAUGUUUUGGUCCACAAUUAGGGUAAUACUGGCCUCACAAAAUAUAGUUGGGAAGUAUUAGCUUCUCUUCUACAUUCUGGAAGAGUUUGUGAAGAACUAGUCUUAAUCCUUCUUUAAAUAUUUUGUGGAAUUCACAAGUGAAGCCAUUUGCUCCUGGGCUUUUCUUCAUGAGAUUUUUCUUUAAGGCCAACAACUCUUUGACUUGCCCUUUGAGACUAUUUUCUAGAUCCUGUAGGUGUGCUUCAACCUUUUUUAUUCUUUUUCUUUUGUCUCCUCUGUGUAUUUUCUUUUUUUUUCUUUUUUUCUUUUUCUUUUUUUUUUUUUUUUUUAAAUGGAGUCUCACUCUGUCACCAGGCUGGAGUGCAGUGGCACAAUCUGGGCUCACUGAAACCUCCACCUCCCAGGUUCAAGCGAUUCUCCUGCCUUAGCCUCCCGAGUAGCUGGGACUACAGGCAUGUGCCACCACAUCCAGCUAAUUUUUUUUGUAUUUUUAGUAGAGAAGGGGUUUCACCAUGUUGGCUAGGAAUGUCUCUAUCUCUUGACCUUGUGAUCCACCCACCUUGGCCUCCAAAAGUGCUGGGAUUACAGGCGUGAGCCACCAUGCCCAGCUCACUAAGUCUUUCUUCUGCCAUCAAUUCUGGUAUUAAAGGAUUCUGAGGCAUUCUUCAAAAUGUCAAUUGCAUUUAUCAGCUCCAGAAUUUCUACUUGAUUCUUUCAAAUUAUUUUAAUCUCUGUUAAAUUUAUGUGAUAGGAUUCUGAAUUCCUUCUCUGUGCUAUCUUGAAUUUCUUUGACUUUCCUCAACAAAGCUAUUUUGAAUUCUCUGUGUGAAAGGUCACAAAUCUGUUUCCCCAGGAUUGGUCCUUGGUGCCUUCUUUGGUUCAUUUGGUUAGGUCAUGGAUGGUGUGGAUGCCAGUAGAUAUUGAAGAGUUAGGUAUUUAUUGUAGUCUUCACUGUCUGGGCUUAUCUGUACCCAUCCUUCUUGGGCUUUCCAGAUAUUUUAAAGGACUUGGGUAUUAUGAUCUAAACUGUAUCUACGUUGUGGUUCUUGCAGCCUCAUAGAGGUACCACCUUGAUGGUCUUGGACAAGAUCUGGGAGAAUUCUCUGGAUUAUCAGGCAGAGACUCUUGUUCUCUUCCCUUACUUUCUCCCAAACAGACUGUGUGUGUGUGUGUGUGUGUGUGUGUGUGUGUGUGUGUGUGUGUGUGUGUGUGUCUCUCUCUCUCUCUCUCUCUCUCUCUCUCUCUGUCUCUCCUCAGCCACCUAAAGCUGGGGGUGGAGUGACACAAGCACCCCUGUGGCCAACACCACUAUGACUGCACUGGGUCAGACCUAAAGCUAGCACAGCACCAGCACAGCACUGGGUCUCACCCAAGCUUGCCGUAACCACUCCCUGGCUAUUGCCUAUGUUCGCUCAAGACUCUGUGGUUCCACAAUCAGCCAGUGGCAAAGCCAGCCAGGCCGUGUCCUUCCCUUCAGGGGGAGUGAGGUCCCCCAAGCCUCAGGUGGGUCUAGAGGUGCCAUCUGGGAGUCAGGGACUAGAGUCAAAAACCUUAGAGGUCUACCCAAUGUUCUAUUGUACUAUGGCUGAGCUGGCACUCAAACCACAAGACACAGUCUUUUUCACUUGUGCCUCCCCUUUCCAAAGCUAGAGGAGCCUCGCCCCAUAGCUACCACCACCCCAGGCCACAAGGAGUAUUGCCAGACAAGCACCACUGUUCCCUUAAGCUUAAGGCCCAGGGAUUCUUAAGUUAGCUUAUGGUGAAUACUGCCUGGCCUAGGUCUCACCCUUCAGGGCAGUGGGUUCUCCUGUAGCCCAGGACAGGUCUAGAAAUGCCAUCUAACAAUCAAGUCCUGGAAUCAGGGAUCCCAAGAGUGUAUUUGGUACUCUGUCCCUCCAUGGCUGUGCUGGUACCUGAAGCCAGAAAGUCUCAGAGGCUCACCCAAAGCCCUUGACAUAGCAGCUGGGUAUCAAUGCUGGUUAUUCACAGCCCAUGGGCUCUUCGGUUAGCAGGUGAUGAAUGCUGCCAGUACUGAGUCCUUUUCUUCAAGGCAGUGGGUUCCCUUCUGGCCUGGGGCAUGUCUAGAAAUGUCAUCUGAGAGCUGGCAUCUGGAACAGGGAGACUUGCGACUCUGACUGGUCCCCUAUCCUGCUGUGACCAAGAUGUUAUCUAAGACACAAGACAAAGUCCUGCCCACUCUUCCCUCUCAAGUGGAAGAAAGGGGUCUCUCUUGGAGCCACGAGCUGUGUAGCCUGGCAUUGGGGUCGGGGAGGCGGGGGGUGAGCCAACACUCCCUUGGUUACCCCAGCUGGUGUCUCAGUAUGUCACCUGCCCCUCUGUCCACUGUCUCUGGGACCAGUUCAGCACUAGGACUCGCCUAAGAGUUGCAGUCCUUUUGGCCUAGACUGCCUUUCAAGUUUACUUGGAGACACAGAGCACUAUAGCCCUCAGUGGCAAGCCUUGCAGGAAUUCAAAUUUGGAUCACUGGGAUCAGCAGUUCCCCUCUGGCUAGGGUUGGUUUAAAUGCUCCCUCUGUGCACAGGUGUCAGCUGAGUUUGGUCCAGUUCUCCUUUCUGCUCUAACAGGAUAGCAUUGAGUUCAAUGCCUCACAAUUGUUGUGUUCUCCCUCCCCAAGCACCCAGAGACACUCUCUGCACCAUACUGCCACUGCUGCAGGGGGAGGAGUGGCACUGCCUAUUCAGGACUGUUUUUUCUAUCUCUUCAGUGCCUCUUUCAGUGAUAUGAAGUUAAAACUAGGUACUGUAAGUGCUCACCUGAUUUUUGGUUCUUAUGAAGGUGGUUUUUUCUGUGUAGAGUUGUUAAAGUGGUGUCCUUGGCAGGGGGAAUGAUCAGUGGAGCCUUCUAUUCCACCAUCUUGCUCUGCCUCUCAAUUUCCCUUUUGAUUUCUGUAGGGUCAGUAGUAAUAUCUUGUCUUUCAUUCCUGAUUUGAGUAAUUUAAGUCCUCUCUCAUUUUUCUUGGUCAGUCCAGCCAGAGGUUUGUUGAUUUUGUCUUUUCAAAGAACAAACAUUUAGUUUCCUGGAUCUCCUCAAUUGUUUUUCUGUUCUUUAUUUUUUUAAUUUCACUCUAAUCUACAUUAGUUCCUUUUUUCUACUUGCUUUGGGUUGAGUUGACUCUUCUUUUUCUAAUUUCUUAAGGUAGAAGGUUAAAUUACUGAUUCGAUAUAUAUUUUUUUUAAUAUAGAUGUUUAUAAGCUAUAAAUUUUCCUCCAAGCACAGCUUUAGCUGCAUUUCAUGAGUUUUGGUAUGUUAAGUUUUUGUUUUCAUUAAUCUUAAGUAUUAAAUUUAUCUUGUAAUUUCUUUCUUUGAUCCACUGAUAAUUUAGGAGUGCACUGGUUUAAAAAUUACUGUACUUUCUAUUAUUACCUACCAAAAGAGUUUAUUUUCUGUAUUUUGUAUUACAAAUAUAUAGAUAUUUUUAAGUUUCCCCCAAAUUUAACAUUGUAUUAUAAUACUAAAUAUGUUUUUUUAAACUAUACUCUCCUUAUUUAUAACCAGUAUUCUAUUCUAGGCCACUUCUUCCUCCUUAAGCUGACCUUUCUCUCCUUAGCUCUGGUUACAGUUCUAGUAGAUGAUCCAGUCCACUUAUUCAGUUACUACUACUGACCAAGCCAUGCCCUAGGUCCUUGCCCUCAGGAACUCAUCUUCUGGUGAAAAAAGAGUGACAUGUUUGUAAAUAAGCAACUAGAAUACAAUGUGAUGUAAUGAGAACAUAUACAAGAAAAACCAAAUCUGGUGGGAGAGCAGGAAUAAAAAGUUUAUCAGAGAUGGCAUCUGACCUUUGUCUCAAGGAUGAGUUAACCAAAAAUACUCUCACCAAGAAAACAGGAGUAAGGGAAACAACAUCCAAUUGAAAUUGUCCAAUGUACAGUUGAAUAUAUUGUAUAGCUAAAAUCUCAGAGAAAGACGUGGUUUGAGAUACAGAUUCACAAGUCCUAUUCUCUUACCUCUUGGAUUUCAUCUGGGACAGUUGAGUCCAUCAGUCUGAAGAGCAAAUUUCGAAGUGGACCUGCCUGCCUCCCGAGAAUGCUGGUAGCUACCCCUCCCGCAAGUGCAAGAGCAAGGUGAUUUGAAAGUAGCUUCAGGCACAGCUUGAGAAAACUGUGGUGUUCUCUGAAACCAAAUAAACGUCUAUGAAUUCUCGGAUCAUAAAAGUGCCUGUGCUAUCCAGUUUGGGUAACAUUUUUAUAUCUUUAAAAAUUUUGUUGGCUAGGUGCGGUGGCUCAUGCCUGUAAUCCCAGCACUUUGGGAGGCGGAGGUGGGUGGAUCACCUGAAGUCAGGAGUUAGAGACUAGCCUGGCCAACAUGGCAAAACCCCGCCUCUACUAAAAAUACAAAAAUUAGCUGGGCAUGAUGGCGGGUGCCUGUAAUCCCAGCUACUCAGAAGGCUGAGGCAAGAGAAUCACUUGAACCUGGGAGGCAGAGGCUGCAGUGAACUGAGAUCAUGCCACUGCACUCUAGCCUGGGCGACAGAGCAAGACACCAUCUUAAAAAAAAAAAAAUUUUGUCAAGUCAUGAACAACAGUAAUUUUUAAAACAUGAUUUGUGAAAUUACAAGUAACUUUUUCCUAGAAGUUAUUAUCAACAAGUAUCUAAGUUUAGCUCUUUUCUAGAUUAUAAAAAAGUUUCAUAUAAUUUGGGAAACCAAACAAGAAAGAACAGUAAGUCAAAACUCAAAAGGAAUAAUUUAUACACAUGCACACACGCGCGCGCACACACACACACAAAGAUACAAAACAUACAUAUAACAUACCUUGAUGAAGGGAAAGGGAGUGGGGGAAUCUCACUGUUUAUUUUAUCACAG